AGCCUGGACAAAAAGAGUGAAAUGCCAUCUCCAAAAAAAAAAAAAAGGAAUUAAAAACAACAAAACCCAUGUUUCGUAAUCCCAGAUAUAGUCACUCCACCCUGCAGAGCUGACUAUGCACAUUGAACAGGAAUGUGCCCUUACAGGGAUCAGUGUCCUUCAGGGAUGUGGCUAUAGAUUUCAGCAGAGAGGAGUGGAGGCACCUAGACCCGUCUCAGAGAAACCUGUACCGGGAUGUGAUGCUGGAGACCUACAGCCACCUGCUCUCAGUCGGGUAUCAAUUUCCUAAACCAGAGGUGGUCAUGUUGGAGCAAGGAAAGGAACCAUGGAUAUUGCAGGGUGAGAGGCCACAUCACAGCUGCCCAGGAAUGGCCAUGAGAUUUCUCACCUCUUCCCAGUCCUUCAGGCCUUUCCUCUAGCUGAUAACUUGGGAAUCAUUGUCACUUCAUCUUUGGGAAUACCUCUCUGCUUUGUUUGACAUGACAUGAUUAAUCACCAUUUCUGACAUUUUCUUCUGAUACUGCUUGAGCAAUUCCACAGUGUUAGGGUCUCUCUGUCUAGUUGGGCUUGUUUGUUUGUUCAUUUUUUUGAGGUGGAGUCUCUCUCUGUCGCCAAGGCUGGAGUGCAGUGGCACA
This is a long non-coding RNA of Sapajus apella (tufted capuchin), 635 nucleotides long. RefSeq lists it as uncharacterized. Lineage: Eukaryota; Metazoa; Chordata; Mammalia; Primates; Cebidae. The transcript is spliced from 3 exons. The record is from RefSeq and is a predicted model, not a curated record.